GUGGGGAAUAUUGGACAAUGGGCGAAAGCCUGAUCCAGCCAUGCCGCGUGUGUGAAGAAGGUCUUCGGAUUGUAAAGCACUUUAAGUUGGGAGGAAGGGCAGUAAGUUAAUACCUUGCUGUUUUGACGUUACCGACAGAAUAAGCACCGGCUAACUUCGUGCCAGCAGCCGCGGUAAUACGAAGGGUGCAAGCGUUAAUCGGAAUUACUGGGCGUAAAGCGCGCGUAGGUGGUUUUGUAAGUUGGAGGUGAAAUCCCCGGGCUCAACCUGGGAACGGCUUUCAAAACUGCUGAGCUAGAGUACGGUAGAGGGUGGUGGAAUUUCCUGUGUAGCGGUGAAAUGCGUAGAUAUAGGAAGGAACACCAGUGGCGAAGGCGACCACCUGGACUGAUACUGACACUGAGGUGCGAAAGCGUGGGGAGCAAACAGGAUUAGAUACCCGUGUAGUCC
RNAcentral lists this ribosomal RNA (450 nucleotides) under uncultured bacterium. Its description in RNAcentral is "partial 16S ribosomal RNA". It matches the Rfam family "Bacterial small subunit ribosomal RNA", at positions 354 to 796 of the family's 1533-position model. The record is from RNAcentral.